RNAcentral lists this long non-coding RNA (219 nucleotides) under Elaeis guineensis (African oil palm). RNAcentral's name for it is "long non-coding RNA (EGUI_LNC006452)". Lineage: Eukaryota; Viridiplantae; Streptophyta; Magnoliopsida; Arecales; Arecaceae. The record is from RNAcentral.
GUCCUCAAGCGUUGCCACUUUUCUGUAUGAGACAUGUGUCUUGGUGGACUAGGAUGUGUCUUGAGAGAUCAUGAUGCAAAUCCUAUGAAAGUCAUCCUUCUGCACCAUCCAAGAUAUGAGCAUCAUGCAUGCAAGAUGCAAAUUAUUCCUCAUUCGAGUAUGAGGAGAAUAUGACAGAUCUCUCAUUCGAGCAUGAGGAGAGCGCAUGACAGAUCUCUC